RNAcentral lists this ribosomal RNA (895 nucleotides) under uncultured crenarchaeote. RNAcentral describes it as "bacterial SSU rRNA". It matches the Rfam family "Archaeal small subunit ribosomal RNA", at positions 51 to 923 of the family's 1478-position model. The record is from RNAcentral. Lineage: Archaea; Thermoproteati; Thermoproteota.
AUGCAUGUCGAGCGCUCUUCAGCUAUGUAGAGAGCGCGGCGAACGGCUCAAUAACACGUAGUUAACCUACCCUCGGGAUGGGAAUAACCCCGGGAAACUGGGAUUAAUACCCACUAGAUGAUUAUACCUGGAAUGGCUUAUCAUCGAAAGAGUCUGGAAACAUGCUUCCAGCGUCGCCCGAGGAUGGGACCGCGUCCGAUCAGGUAGUUGGUAGGGUAAUGGCCUACCAAGCCUAUAACCGGUACGGGCCCUGAGAGGGGGAGCCCGGAGAUGGAAACUGAGAAAAGGUUCCAGGCCCUACGGGGUGCAGCAGGCGCGAAACCUCCACAAUGCGCGAAAGCGUGAUGGGGUUAUCCCGAGUGCCGUCCGAUGAGGAUGGCUUUUUAUCGAUGUAAGGAUUCGAUAGAAUAAAGGGGGGGCAAGACUGGUGUCAGCCGCCGCGGUAAUACCAGCCCCCUGAGUGGUAAGGACGAUUAUUUGGCCUAAAGCGUUCGUAGCCGGCUUAUCAAGUCUUUUGUUAAAUCCAACGAUUCAAUCGUUGGGCUGCAAAAGAUACUGUUAUGCUAGAGGACGGGAGAGGUCGACGGUAGUCCAGGGGUAGGGGUGAAAUCCUAUAAUCCUUGGAGGACCACCAGUGGCGAAGGCGGUCGACUAGAACGUGCCUGACGGUGAGGGACGAAAGCUGGGGGAGCGAACCGGAUUAGAUACCCGGGUAGUCCCAGCUGUAAACGAUGCGGGCUAGGUGUUGGGGCAGCCACGAGCUGCUCCAGUGCCGCAGAGAAGUUGUUAAGCCCGCCGCCUGGGGAGUACGGCCGCAAGGCUGAAACUUAAAGGAAUUGGCGGGGGAGCACCACAAGGGGUGAAGGCUGCGGUUUAAUUGGAUUCAACGCCGGAA